GCUAUCAUUACUGCAGUGUUAACAUUGUAAUCUUCUCAGGUAUUUAAUUACUUUCCCAAAGGCAUCUAUAAAUUAACUUCCUAAGCAGCGUGCCAUCUGAGACAUUAAAAUAUAACUUUUAAUUUGGAAAGGUUGCUGAAAAAUAAUUCAUUCUUGUGGUUGGAUUUCUUAUUUUAGUCUGUUACCCCAGCCUGUCAAAAACCAACCUCUCUUUAUCUUUAAUCUGUAUUAGCCACAGAGGUGUGAAUUGGAAGAAACGCGCCACUUACUCGGGCUAAUAUAUAUUUUGUGUCUACGAGCACAAUAUUUCAAAAUAAUGCAUAGGUAGUUUUUAGCAGUGGUUACAGGUGUAAAAGCUCAGUUGCAAAUGGCAUAUGCUAGUUUCGUUUCACUGCACUAAUGCUUUAAUUGAGAAGAAACUAUGUUUUCAUGAAGUCUGUCAUUAAGACAGGUUUUGUAGUGUAGAGGUUCACAAACUCUCUUGGGGUGUUGUUUCUUUGAGGUAUAGGAUGUCUUUGAGCUUCACACAGUACACUGCUAAUGCACGAAGGUUGGAAAUAAUGCACCUUUCUUUGACAGAUCAGGGGUUAGUUUGGGUCUCAUAAUCUGCCUGUUCUAUCUGGGGAUAUACUCACAGCUUUGUAGUACAGCAGCUGUUCUGCCUUUUGGGCAGUCGGUUCUUGGAUUUGCCGAUUCAGGAAAUCCCGUCCACUGAGAGCAUGCUGCUAUGUUUUCAUAAUGUUACUUCAAAGCCUUGUUCUCAGAUGUUUAAGUAGUAAGAUGCCAUAUCAUGAUGACUACUUUUUGCACAGCUGAGUAGUCAAGUUUGGAUUUGUAUCUGGGCAUGUGUAUUUUAUUAGCAAAGAAUGUGGGCUUUAGAAUCAUGUGACUCUGAAGCAUCUUCUUUUAAAAGAUUUAUUUUGCUAAGCUAAUGAGAUACCAAAGGACCAAAUUUAAGCAAAUUUAUUACAAUGUGGGAGACAGGGACAGAUGGGAUGGAAAGAAAGGAAUCAAGUGCCUGUGAUGAAAUAUAAUAGCUUUUUGGUGUAAGUGAGAGAUGAGUAGUAACAACAGCAGUAACUACAGAUGACAGCAAAGUCAUGGUUUUGGGGAAAGUAGUUUCCUAGUAGUAUUCAACUUGGUGCUCAUUUGGCUGAGAAUAUUUUUGAACUUCAUAGGACAAACCAAAGCUGAAUUUCUGUUUUGCAUCUUCAACUAGCUGAGAACUCUUGCAAACACCCAAAGGAGAAAUACUGACUCUUCCUAAUGGUACAUCAAUAUUGAAAUGGUCAGAAAUGAGGCCAGUUGGGUUCAGUGGUGGUUCUUUCUGCCCUCUGCUUCAACUGCUCAUAGAAGACCAUUCCGGAAGAGGGAGUGCCAUUGGGUGGCAUGUUCAGUGUGGGAUUGAAGUGCUUUGGUGAGGGAAUGUUGCCAUAUGUGAAAUGGCCCUUAAGUGCUGUAACAAAAACUUUAUUGCUAUUCUUCUAUCCUCUCUAUGAGAAAAUGAGUUAACUUUAGGUGUAUCCAGAAUUUUCCAGAAAACCAGUAUAUAUAUAUAAAAAGAUACAGGAGAUAAGUGGCAAGAUAAGGCUGUUAGAUGCAGUUGCUUAAGGCAUAACAGCUUCUUUUCCAUAUUUGUUCUAGGAAGGUGUGGGACCCAUUUGAGCUCUUGGGGUUAAUUCUUAAUGACUGGCAAGUCUUCCAAAGUCCAGUUAGCCAAAUCCUCAGUUAGCACUUGUGUCCAUUUUUUUAAUGAGAAACCCUGCGAAUUUUGGGGAAAUGCUAAAGAUGCUUCCUCCCUUUCUUUUACAGAACUGUUUGUGUGUGGCUGAAGAAAGACAGUGGUCAGUAUUGGCCUAACACAUACCACCCCCUGCCUUGUAAGUAUUUGCAAUACUUGGUCCAUUUUAAUUCUCAGCUUUCAGGCCCACUCCUCACUUUUUCUUCAUCACCACUUCAAUAAUUAGCUGUUGAGAGUACAGUGUGGAUCUUCCAUAAUUCUGAUGGCAUUUAAAUACAUUGAACAUUUUAAAACAAGGGAUUCUGGCGU
Molecule: non-coding RNA, 2050 nt
Organism: Podarcis lilfordi (Lilford's wall lizard)
Lineage: Eukaryota; Metazoa; Chordata; Lepidosauria; Squamata; Lacertidae
Source: the annotation of a GenBank genome assembly